CAGCAGCCGCGGUAAUACGAACCGUGCGAACGUUAUUCGGAAUCACUGGGCUUAAAGCGCGCGUAGGCGGGAGGGCACGUCCGUCGCUGAAAUCCCCCGGCUCAACCGGGGAACGGGCGCGGAUACGACUCUUCUGGAGGAACGUAGGGGGACCUGGAACUUCCGGUGGAGCGGUGAAAUGCGUUGAGAUCGGAAGGAACGCCCGUGGCGAAAGCGAGGUCCUGGACGUUUACUGACGCUGAGACGCGAAAGCCAGGGGAGCGAACGGGAUUAGAUACCCCUGUAGUCCCUGUCUCUUAUC
This 301-nucleotide ribosomal RNA is filed under the name uncultured bacterium. Its description in RNAcentral is "partial 16S ribosomal RNA". It matches the Rfam family "Bacterial small subunit ribosomal RNA", at positions 509 to 807 of the family's 1533-position model. The record is from RNAcentral.